CUAACUGGUGUAACUGGUGAACGAUGAGUGAGAGAGCGACAGAGAAAACGAAAUCGCGAGGACGGACCAUCGUCAUAGAUGAUCGAUGAGAUCUACUCCAACGGCGUGACGAAUGCCAGCAUCACAAGCCGAUCAUCAGAGAGAGAUAAUGGUGACGGUGGCGAUCAGUGGUGGACCUGAUGGUGGUGUGGCCGGAGAUGGCGAUGAAGGGGAUAGAGAUAGGUUGCAGAAAUCUGAGGAGGAGGAGGAAGCCCCAAGGGUUGGGUGUGGUUUCGUCCUUCUCCCUUCCAUUCCGAAAUACAAGCAAAGGACGGAGAAUAAGAAGGCCUGAUGAUGGAAGCCAUCAAAACAGAGGGCAUUUUACCCAUUGUGCACCCUCAUAGUUUCAGCGAAAAUCAUAGGAGAAGCCGAAACAAGCGUACAGGUGCUUUCGGUGGCAGUUUACAAUCACUAUAAGAGGAUCUGUAAUGACUCUUCAUAAAAGUGGAGUUAAACCUAGAGGAUUUAUGUCCGCUCCUUCAAUAGCGCUGGCAAUUGGAACAAAAUUUAUUCACUUGCCUAAGUGAAAAAGCCACCAGCUAUGGUUUUACUUUUACACAUUGAUUUGUUCCAUUUCCUAAACUAAACUUGUAACAGAAAUAUCAAGAUAACUGGUAUAUUUUCGGUCAUCGUAAACAAUAUAAAUGGUGCAUUUUCUGUUUGUUAUUCUUCUAUUUUGGCAUCCAUGUAGUUAACAGAAAAGUAAAAGAGUUUGACUCAACACUGACAUAAACUCCGCAAAGAAAAAAGUAAGUCAAUUUCUAUGGUUUGGUCCAAACGAAGGCUUAGUCAGUCAGCAAUGGCUUUAGACUUGAUACGGGUUGUGUUUGGGAUACAUGGAUGAUUGCCUUCUGUAGUAGAUGAAGCUCGUGACAAAUGUUGACAAAUUCUAUUUUAUUUUCGUUACAGGUUCCAGGGAAUCGUCUCAUCAAAAAGGUCUGAACAAACCCCGUUAAAAGAAAAGGCAAGCUUCUUUCAUUUUUCCCCUGUUUGACUAUUAUCGUUCUUGUACUUUGGCUUGCCUCUUUUGUUACUUUGUUCUAUAUUACAGCUCUCACUCCCUAUUAUAAUCUAGAUUACCAGGGAGUUCUCCUCGGACUGGAAUACUAGAUUUGCAAUGGUUGUUCUACACUUUACAUGUCGAUGGUAGUAUAUGAAACCUGCUUUGAAAUAGGGACAUUGUAGAAUAUAGGUGCAACCUAGACUUGCUGGGUGACCCCAACCAGUUAAACCAAGUAGUUUUUGUGGUGUGCUGGUCUAAUGAAUAUAUUAGUCGUAUCGUGAAUGGGAUUUCAAAUUAGGUUACAAGAUGAUUAUUGAAUGUCUCAAGUUGGUCCAAACUUCAAGAAGUGAUGAUUCGCUAUUUAUUAGUUGGAAAUCAUUAUUCUUUUUUCCUAAUGUUUUUUAUUAGAAGAUUGUGAAACGUAUGCAAUUAUCAUUGGUGAGGUGAUCAUUAGUGUCAUAUGCUGGAGGACUAGCUAUGUAGAGAAGGAAUUAGUGUGGAUAACUUUAUAUUUAUUAUGAACACAAUACUAGAAAGAAAAAGGUAGUAUGUACUGAUACUCUCCUUAUAACAUAGAUUUUGUGUGGUCUUUUUGUGUGCUAAGUUUUAUGUUGUGUAGUCAAAUACAUUUGUUGGGGUUGGCCCCCUCCCACUGAUUUUAGUUUAUUUAUACUGCUGGGGUCAAUUGUGGAUUGUAUAUUGCUUUCCUAAUUCAUUGUAACUACUGGAGGAGGGGCCGAGUUGUCAAUUCUUAAGUGCUGUGAAGAAUCUCACAAAUGAGUAUUCUGGUAAGAGUCAUUUUAUCUGUAGGGAUAUAUUUAGUUUCUCAGUCUAUUUUCAUAUCUUGCCAUGCUUCUAUGUUUUUUGUAUAACCUACGUGGUUUUGCUUUGUUACUUUGUAUGAGAUAUCAUGUAUAUUCUUGCAUUGAUUGCUUUGAAGAACUCAGAAAUGGGAAAGAAAGAAAAAUAGCUUUGGCUUGAGAAAUAUUUAUGGGUAAUGAAAAUUUUAAAAUGUGAAGGCUGCUAUUAAAGGAAUGCUCAUAAAGUGAUCCAUGACAUGACAAAGACAAACAAAAUCAAUUUAGUAAGUUGAAUACCCCUUUUCUCAACUUUUAAAGUUUACUAAAGUUUUUUUCCUCUCUCUCAAUGGUGUUUGUUGUCCAUAAAGAAGGGAUUGGAAAUGUUCUUCUCAAAGUGAGCACGUACAGAGUGAUCAAUGUUUAGGACCAUUGCCAUUUAUGCACAGGUUUGGAGCUUGUCAUAGUGGGAUCAAUUUCAUUGCAACUUACCCAUUUCUUGUGGGUCAUCUGCCAAGUUGGAGUUGAUUGCCAAACUUUUGAGGCUUUUUUGGUUUGUGAUUCUAUAUUUCUAGCAAAAAAGAGAGUAACUUCACAUUCCAUGGACUACUUGAAUGGUAAAAAUCAAGCAGUGCAUUUCUUCACGCAUUUAAGCAUCUUUUAAGUAAUGCAAUUAUGUUUUUCUCCUGAUCACAUCUGGAUUCUGAGUACCCUUUUGUGGUUUUUACACACCAAGUGCCAAACUACCUUUUUUUGCAUUUUGGGAUUGCAUUGUUUUCGUUCUACUUUGGAGUGUGAACUAUCUCAUGUUUUGUGGUCUUUUUCUUAGGUAUGGAUUUUCAUUUUCCCUUUGUGUAUAUUUUAUUUGCUCACAGGGUUAUGGAGUCAACUAGCGCAGCAAGUCGUGUCUUCAAUACAACCAAGUUUAAUUCAUAGCUAUUCUUUUGUGGGGCUUCUCGCUCCUUGUAUGGAAGCUUGAGUGGUAGAUUGGAUUACCGAUUCUUUCUUGCCUCCUAGGAGGAGUGAUGAUCUUUGUCCAAGAGGGUCUGCUAUUAUGAAAGGUAAGCAAAGGUUUUUCAAUAACAAGUGUUAUUCAAUCCAUGCAACAUCUCUAUUUUUCAGAUUGUAUUUUGACCGCAGCUUAUCCUUCUUUUUUGUUUUUGGCGUAAAUCAGCAUGUCCUCAAUAGCAUUUGUGUAUCCUUAAAAGAAUUAUGCUACAAGCAUUGAGUGUCGUUUGUAUUGUGGCCAUGCAAGUAUGCUGGUUUUUAAAGGGGCCCUUGAUAUAAUCCAUAACGAUAGAUUUAGAUCGUAGGUAUGAAUUUCUAGACAGUUCUUCAGAUUCAUGGAGAUAUUACUAGAGAAGAUGUACUUGAUCAUUGGGAAGAAGUGGGAGCAAGGGAGGAAUUAUUUUCCACCGCUUAACGUGAAGAAAAAGAGCUCAAUUCCUUCUAUUUCUAUCUCUUUAGAGUGAUUUGCUUUCUUUA
This is a long non-coding RNA of Rhododendron vialii, 3324 nucleotides long. RefSeq lists it as uncharacterized. The record is from RefSeq and is a predicted model, not a curated record. NCBI's taxonomy places the organism in Eukaryota, Viridiplantae, Streptophyta, Magnoliopsida, Ericales, Ericaceae. The transcript has 3 exons.